AACGAACGCUGGCGGCGUGCUUAACACAUGCAAGUCGCGGGAGGACAUGGGUGCUUGCACCCAUGAGCCGACCGGCGGACGGGUGCGUAACACGUAAGCAAUUUGCCCCUGUGCGGGGGACAACCCGGGGAAACUCGGGCUAAUACCGCAUGGACCGGUUGAGUCACCUGGCUUUAUCGGGAAAGAUGGCCUCUUCAUGAAAGCCAUCGCGCGGGGAGGAGCUUGCGGGCUAUCAGCUAGUUGGUGGGGUAACGGCUCACCAAGGCGACGACGGCUAGCGGGUCUGAGAGGAUGAUCCGCCACAUUGGGACUGAGACACGGCCCAAACUCCUACGGGAGGCAGCAGUGGGGAAUAUUGGGCAAUGACCGAAAGGUUGACCCAGCGACGCCGCGUGCGGGAGGAAGCCCUUCGGGGUGUAAACCGCUGUCCAGGGAGAGACGAAAAACCCUGGAUUCAACAA
RNAcentral lists this ribosomal RNA (461 nucleotides) under uncultured bacterium. Its description in RNAcentral is "bacterial SSU rRNA". It matches the Rfam family "Bacterial small subunit ribosomal RNA", at positions 29 to 464 of the family's 1533-position model. The record is from RNAcentral.